Suricata suricatta (meerkat) is the source of this 3066-nucleotide long non-coding RNA. Lineage: Eukaryota; Metazoa; Chordata; Mammalia; Carnivora; Herpestidae. The record is from Ensembl.
AUUUUCUAAAAAUUAACCAUUGAUACUUCACCUUUCUCAAAAACCCUUAGCUGAUGGGGCCCCUGGGUGGCUCAGUGUGUUAAGCGUCAGACUUCGGCUCAGGUCAUGAUCUUACAGUCUGUGGGUUCGAGCCCUGUGUUGGGCUCUGUGCUGACAGCUCAGAGCCUGGAGCCUGCUUCGGAUUCCGUACCUCCCUCUCUCUCUGACCCUCCCCUGCUCUCUCUGUCUCUCAAAAAUAAAUAAAAAACAUUAAAAAAGUUAAAAAAAAAAAAAGCCUUAGUUGUAAGAGCAGGAGGAAACCGUAACACCAUAUUCAGUCCCGCCUGCUUCUCCGUCAGCUCUGGCUUCUUCAAAGGCUCCGUUAGAUCUUGGGUGAUGACGCAUCCCACACCCGCCCCUUCACACUCACGCGCUCCCCUGAGCUCAGCCCGUUUCCCACGGCCCCCCAGGGUCCCAGUGUCUGUCUGGCCCUGGGGUGGCCGCUGGCCAGCUGGCAGGCACCGGACUUGUGUCUGCACUGGGUCCGGAGCGGCCAGCAGGGGCCGCUGUGUCUUUGUUUUUCAUCCAAGCUCCCCUACUGCUCAGAAGGUUUGUUUCUGGAAGGGCAUCUAACACAUCCCCCCGGAGACAGUCAAGGUAAAGGCUUACACAAUCCGGCAAGGAAAGACCUGCGUUCAAAACGCGGGCACAGGAAGAAGCAUCAGUACACGUUGAGCAGAUGGAACAGGACCGAGCCCUCGGGGACAUUAGAAAAGCAAAGAGUGUCCGCAAACCAGAGCGCUGACGACCACCUGGGGGGCAGCAGCGUCUCCGGAGCUCCAGCCAGCAGCCACAGGAGGCCAGAGACGCCGUUGGACGACUCCGCCAUCUCGUAUGACUACUCCGAGGAGCAGCUGAUGGCCAGCAUCGAGCGGGAAUACUGUCGCUGAGGCCGCUCCUCUGCCACCGGCCCCCCGACCAGACUGGGGCCACACAGCAGCCUCCCUGGAGUCGCCUGCAAGAUCCAAGGACAUCUCCGGAGCUGACGAAGGGCCCCUUGGCGCUGUCCCCAGACCCACUGGCCGGCUGCCAUCACAGGCAGCCGGGUGUUUCCAUGAACUGUUAUUACUUGACAAGAGAGCUUUGAUGGGAGGCUCCGGAGGGUCCCGCUGCCCAGCCAGAGGCGGCCCCUGGGGCCUCCCAGCAGCCGAUGGCCCGACCUUGCCAGGGAGACAGCUGCGCCCCAUCCAAGCUCAGAUCUUUUUUUUCAAAAUCAAAGAUGAGCGCUAUUAGGAUUCAAAUCAUACAAAAUACUUCUUCUAAAAGAAGUGACAAUAUUAUUUCUCACCCCCAAGCAGACGAGGCCUUGAAUUGAAUGACGUAAAGUGUUUACAAUUUUACACUGUUGUCUUGUUAAUUCGGAAAAGGUUCAGCCCAUUUCCAAGGGAAGGACAAUACCCCUCCCUCAAGGAGAUGAAAGUGUGAAGAAAAUAAAAUUCCUCCUGUGGGUGCCGCCUUCUGUGUGGGCGGCCAGGUGAGAGCCUGUAAUUAAAGCAGUCAUUCUUAGGGCUUUUUUUGUUUCUAAUUUCCUGAAUGCAGAAAAGUGUCUUCUUUUAAAAUGUUUAUUUAUUUUUGAGAGAGAAAGAGAGAGAGAGAGAGCAAGAGCGGGGGAGGGCAGAGAGAGGGAGACAGAAUCCGAAGCAGGCUCCGGGCUCCCAGCUGUCAGCACAGAGCCUGAUGCAGGGUUCGAACUCAUGAACUGUGAGAUCAUGACGGGAGCCGAAGUCUGAUGCUUAACUGACUGAGCCCCCCAGGCGCCCCUGAUGGUCCAGAGUCAUAGAGCCACUUCGCACAGGACUGCCUUUAGUGGGCUGUGCCCCCCUGGAGGUCCUGCUCAGUGCCAUCCGGGGCCACGUCUCUGAAGCCCCUGCCACUGUGGGCCUGGCCCUCCGCUUGAUGCCGGGUCCGUGGGUGAGCUGGGUCUGGUCUCUGUCCGGGAGGACGUGCUGUCUCUAGGGGCCGGGACACCCAUACACACGUCUUCCCUCUGGAGAAGGUAGAGUCGACCCCCCACUGAAGGUCUAGUCCGUGCGGGUGGAUGUUCUUCUGUUCUGGCGAUAAUUAGGCAGAAGAACAGCCUUCUAGAGUGUCAUCAGGGGGCUGAACCACAUCUGAGACUCUGAAGGUCGGUGCCCUCCUCCAGGAAGGGGAUGACCCAAAUCAGACCUUUGGUGUGGUGACAUCUGGACCCCUGGGGACAGAUCCAACCUCGACAGGCCGGCAGGGCUCUGUUUUCUGGCGUGCUGAAAUCUUCAGUUUCCAGGGCUGGAAAGGAAAAGCUGCUUUCUCUGUGGGGUGUGGACAUUGGGAAGGAAAGGUGGCACUUAGUGUAAGUCCUGCUGGACCCCGCGGGGAGCUGGGGCCUGGAGCGUGGCCACCCGGGGGACUAAAGGAGCGUGUGGUUUUGUGUGGCACCAAGUGUCAGGGACCUGUGGCCAGCUGUCAACAUGACACCACUUGGCAGCAAGAAUCACCUCGGCCGUGUCACUCCUGAUGUGGGCCAAGAGGCUGAGGACACGUUGUAGGGAAAGUGGAGAAAGUGCCGGGGGAAGGGCUGAGUUUCCUACUGCUCUGACAGCAGAGAACCUGAGUGGCAAAUAAAAAUAAUACGACCUGGGGCACCUGGGGGGCUCAGUCAGUUAAGCGUCUGACUUCGGCUCAGGUCAUGAUUUCACGGUUUGUGGGAUUGAGUCCCGCGUCGGGCUCUGUGCUGACAGCUAGGUCAGAGCCUGGAGCCUGCUUCGGAUUCUGUGUCCCUCUCUCACUCUGCCCCUCUCCUGCUCAUGCUGUCUCUCUCUCUCUCUCAAAUAUAAACAUUUAAAACAUAAAUAAAUAAAAAAAAUACAACCUUAGUAGCACCUUACGUGAGUGAAGCACAGGUCACAGAAGCAGUGUGUGUGUGUGUGUGUGUGUGUGUGUGUGUGUGUGUGUGUGUAAUUUGUACAAGUAAUUGAGAGAACUCGCUCUGUGCCAGGGUCUGUGCCAGGUGGGCCCAGGAGUAUAAACAGAUGUGAGAGGAGAGAGCCG